This 213-nucleotide ribosomal RNA is filed under the name Veillonella atypica. Its description in RNAcentral is "partial 23S ribosomal RNA". It matches the Rfam family "Bacterial large subunit ribosomal RNA", at positions 1 to 205 of the family's 2925-position model. Lineage: Bacteria; Bacillati; Bacillota; Negativicutes; Veillonellales; Veillonellaceae. The record is from RNAcentral.
GGGUUGUGAGGUUAAGCGACUAAGCGUACACGGUGGAUGCCCUGGCAGUCAGAGGCGAUGAAGGACGUGCUAAUCUGCGAUAAGCGUCGGUAAGGUGAUAUGAACCGUUAUAACCGGCGAUUUCCGAAUGGGGAAACCCAGUGCAAUCCGUUGCACUAUCGUUAACUGAAUACAUAGGUUAACGAGGCGAACCGGGGGAACUGAAACAUCUAA